This 429-nucleotide ribosomal RNA is filed under the name uncultured bacterium. Its description in RNAcentral is "bacterial SSU rRNA". It matches the Rfam family "Bacterial small subunit ribosomal RNA", at positions 355 to 776 of the family's 1533-position model. The record is from RNAcentral.
UGGGGAAUUUUGCGCAAUGGGCGAAAGCCUGACGCAGCAACGCCGCGUGGAGGAUGAAGGUCUUUGGAUUGUAAACUUCUGUUAAUUGAGAAAAAAUGAUAAAAAAUAAUACUUUUUGUAGAUGAUGUUAUCAAUUUAGAAAGCCCCGGCUAACUUCGUGCCAGCAGCCGCGGUAAUACGAAGGGGGCAAGCGUUAUUCGGAAUUAUUGGGCGUAAAGGAUGUGUAGGCGGCAUUAUAAGUUUAUUGUUUAAUUUCCCAGCCUAACUGGGAGCAUGCGAUAAAUACUGUAUUGCUAGAGUAUGAUAGAGAGAGGUGGAAUUUUCGGAGUAGCGGUUAAAUGCGUAGAUCUCGAAAGGAACGCCAAUGGCGAAGGCAGCCUCUUGGGUCAUUACUGACGCUGAAACAUGAAGGCGUGGGGAGCAAACAGG